UGGGGAAUAUUGCACAAUGGGCGAAAGCCUGAUGCAGCAACGCCGCGUGAGUGAUGAAGGUCUUCGGAUUGUAAAGCUCUGUCUUUUGGGACGAUAAUGACGGUACCAAAGGAGGAAGCCACGGCUAACUACGUGCCAGCAGCCGCGGUAAUACGUAGGUGGCGAGCGUUGUCCGGAUUUACUGGGCGUAAAGGGUGCGUAGGCGGAUGUUUAAGUGAGAUGUGAAAUACCCGGGCUUAACUUGGGUGCUGCAUUUCAAACUGGAUAUCUAGAGUGCAGGAGAGGAGAAUGGGAUUCCUAGUGUAGCGGUGAAAUGCGUAGAGAUUAGGAAGAACACCAGUGGCGAAGGCGAUUCUCUGGACUGUAACUGACGCUGAGGCACGAAAGCGUGGGUAGCAAACAGGAUUAGAUACCCUGGUAGUCCACGCCGUAAACGAUGAGUACUAGGUGUAGGAGGUAUCGACCCCUUCUGUGCCGCAGUAAACACAUUAAGUACUCCGCCUGGGAAGUACGAUCGC
This 518-nucleotide ribosomal RNA is filed under the name uncultured bacterium. RNAcentral's name for it is "partial 16S ribosomal RNA". It matches the Rfam family "Bacterial small subunit ribosomal RNA", at positions 355 to 889 of the family's 1533-position model. The record is from RNAcentral.